CCAAUAGCGUAUAUUAAAGUUGCUGCAGUUAAAAAGCUCGUAGUUGAAUUUCGGGAUCAAUAUGUUGGUCGUGCCUCGGUACGUACUGGCUUAUUGGUUUCUCCCUUCUGACGAACCAUGAUGUCAUUUAUUUGGUGUUAUGAGGAAUCAGGACUGUUACUUUGAAAAAAUUAGAGUGUUUAAAGCAGGCUCACGCUUGAAUACAUUAGCAUGGAAUAAUGAAAUAGGACGUUUGAUUCUAUUUUGUUGGUUUCUAGGAUCGACGUAAUGAUUAAUAGGGAUAGUUGGGGGCAUUAGUAUUCAAUUGUCAGAGGUGAAAUUCUUGGAUUUAUUGAAGACUAACUACUGCGAAAGCAUUUGCCAAGGAUGUUUUCAUUAAUCAAGAACGAAAGUUAGGGGAUCGAAGACGAUCAGAUACCGUCGUAGUCUUAACCAUAAACUAUGCCGACUAGGGAUCGGAUGAUGUUAAUUUUUUAAUGACUCAUUCGGCGCCUUACG
RNAcentral lists this ribosomal RNA (498 nucleotides) under uncultured Glomeromycotina. RNAcentral describes it as "SSU rRNA". It matches the Rfam family "Eukaryotic small subunit ribosomal RNA", at positions 591 to 1092 of the family's 1831-position model. Lineage: Eukaryota; Fungi; Glomeromycota. The record is from RNAcentral.